GGUGAGGUGGCUGAGUGGUCGAAGGCGGCUCACUGCUAACGAGUUGAACUUGUUAAAGGGUUCCCAGGGUUCGAAUCCCUGCCUCACCGCCA
Molecule: transfer RNA, 92 nt
Filed under: Candidatus Altimarinota bacterium
Lineage: Bacteria; Candidatus Altimarinota
Description: tRNA-Ser
Rfam family: tRNA
About the family: Transfer RNA (tRNA) molecules are approximately 80 nucleotides in length. Their secondary structure includes four short double-helical elements and three loops (D, anti-codon, and T loops).
Source: RNAcentral